Ictidomys tridecemlineatus (thirteen-lined ground squirrel) is the source of this 72-nucleotide non-coding RNA. The record is from Rfam. NCBI's taxonomy places the organism in Eukaryota, Metazoa, Chordata, Mammalia, Rodentia, Sciuridae.
AGGGUUGUGGCUCAGUGGUAGAGCGCUUGCCUAAUGUACAUGAGGCACUGGGUUCAAUCCCCAGCACCACAU